AAGUCGUAACAAGGUUUCCGUAGGUGAACCUGCGGAAGGAUCAUUACAGAGAGGGGCUUCGCGCUCCAGGAGGCUCCGGCCUCCGCCUCUACACCCUAUGAUUACUUACCUUUUUGUUGCUUUGGCAGGCCUUAGGGUCAUGCCUAUGCCGGUCCGCCGGCGAGUGCCCGCCAAUAGCCCCCCCAAACUCAUGUUAUCGGUGUCGUCUGAGUACUAUACAAAUAAAUCAAAACUUUCAACAACGGAUCUCUUGGUUCUGGCAUCGAUGAAGAACGCAGCGAAAUGCGAUAAGUAAUGUGAAUUGCAGAAUUCAGUGAAUCAUCGAAUCUUUGAACGCACAUUGCGCCCCUCGGUACUCCGGGGGGCAUGCCUGUUCGAGCGUCAUUACAACCCUCAAGCGUAGCUUGGUAUUGGGUCUUCGCCCCCGGGGCGUGCCCGAAAAUUAUGGGCGGUCCGGUGUGACUUUUAAGCGUAGUAAAUUAUCUCCCGCUUUGAGAGCCUCGCAUCGUGCUUGCCAGACAACCCCACAAUUUGAUCAAUGAUUGACCUCGGAUCAGGUAGGGAUACCCGCUGAACUUAAGCAUAUCAAUAAGCGGAGGAAAAGAAACCAACAGGGAUUGCCUCAGUAACGGCGAGUGAAGCGGCAAUAGCUCAAAUUUGAAAUCUGGCUCUUUCAGGGUCCGAGUUGUAAUUUGCAGAAGAUGUUUCGGGAGCGGUUCCGGUUUAAGUCCCUUGGAACAGGGUAUCAUAGAGGGUGAGAAUCCCGUAUGUGACCGGUGACCGACCCCAUGUGAAACUCCUUCGACGAGUCGAGUUGUUUGGGAAUGCAGCUCAAAAUGGGUGGUAAAUUUCAUCUAAAGCUAAAUACUGGCCAGAGACCGAUAGCGCACAAGUAGAGUGAUCGAAAGAUGAAAAGCACUUUGGAAAGAGAGUUAAAAAGUACGUGAAAUUGUUGAAAGGGAAGCGCUCGCAACCAGACCUGCCCUCGAACGAUCAGCGGUAGUUCUCUGCCGUGCACUCGUUCGUGAUCAGGCCAGCAUCGGUUUCGGCGGCCGGAUAAAGAUCCUUGGAAUGUAGCUCCCUCCGGGGAGUGUUAUAGCCUUGGGUGCAAUACGGCCAGCCGGGACCGAGGACCGCGCUUCGGCUAGGAUGCUGGCGUAAUGGUUGUGAGCGACC
This 1176-nucleotide ribosomal RNA is filed under the name uncultured fungus. RNAcentral's name for it is "eukaryotic LSU rRNA". The stretch from base 544 to 1176 matches the Rfam family "Eukaryotic large subunit ribosomal RNA", at positions 1 to 649 of the family's 3401-position model. Lineage: Eukaryota; Fungi. The record is from RNAcentral.